This 1257-nucleotide ribosomal RNA is filed under the name metagenome. RNAcentral describes it as "SSU rRNA". It matches the Rfam family "Eukaryotic small subunit ribosomal RNA", at positions 146 to 1367 of the family's 1831-position model. The record is from RNAcentral.
ACCGUAGUAAUUCUAGAGCUAAUACAUGCGUAACGUAGCGACUGGGGCUUGUCCCUGGGAACUACGAGGUUAUUAGAUAAGUAACCAAUACCCUUUUUGGGCUUUCGGUGAUUCAUAGUAACGACUCGGAGCGAAUUUGGUCUUUGUACCAUCGCCAUGACAUUCGAAUUUCUGCCCUAUCAACUGUCGAUGGUAAGAUAGAGGCUUACCAUGGUUUUGACGGGUGACGGAGAAUUAGGGUUUGAUUCCGGAGAGGGCGCCUGAGAGACGGCGACCACAUCUAAGGAAGGCAGCAGCCGCGCAAAUUACCCAAUCCUGACACAGGGAGGUAGUGACAAGAAAUAACAAUACGCGGCUUUUCUAAGUUGCGUAAUUGGAUUGAGACUUAUGUAAAACCCAUUUCGAGUUGUGGAGGGCAAGUCUGGUGCCAGCAGCCGCGGUAAUUCCAGCUCCAAUAGCGUAUUUUAAAGUUGCUGCUAUUAAAAAGCUCGUAGUUGGAUUUCGGAGUAUCAUUGAGGGGUUUAGUCUGAGCUGUGUUGUCUUCGGAUGGCAUGGUUCGUGUACUAGCUCCGCUGUGCUCCGUGAAUGCUUGUGUCUUGGGGGUCUGGGCUUAGUUUGCCUGGGCUCUCGAACCAGGCCUUUUACUUUGAGAAAAUUAGAGUGUUCAAAGCAGGCGUGAUUGCGCAUGAAUAGAUUAGCAUUGAAUAAUGGAAUAGGACUUUGGUUCUAUUUUGUUGGUUCGAGGACCAGAGUAAUGAUUAAUAGGGACAGUUGGGGACAUGGGUACGUCUUGGCCAGAGGUGAAAUUCUUGGACUCAAGACUGACUAACAUCUGCGAAAGCAUUUGUCAGGGAUGUUUUCAUUAAUCAAGAACGAAAGUUAGGGGAUCGAAGAUGAUUAGAUACCGUUGUAGUCUUAACCAUAAACGAUGCCGACUUUGUGUCGGACCGCGUCCUUUUAGCGACCGGUUCGGCGCAAUAGGAGAAAUCAAAGUUUUUGGGCUUAGGGGGGAGUAUGGUCGCAAGGCUGAAACUUAAAGGAAUUGACGGGGGGGCACCACCAUGGCGUGGAGCUUGCGGCUUAAUUUGACCCAACACGGGGAAACUUUCCAGGUCAGGACAAAGUUAGGAUUGACAGAUUGAGAGCUCUUUCUUGAUUCUUUGGUUGGUGGUGCAUGGCCGUUGGCAGUCCGUAGAGUAAUUCGUCAGCUUAAUUGCGAUAACGAACGAGAUCUCCGCCGAUAAAUAGAUACGCGGG